Molecule: long non-coding RNA, 2823 nt
Organism: Mercenaria mercenaria
Lineage: Eukaryota; Metazoa; Mollusca; Bivalvia; Venerida; Veneridae
Exons: 4
Source: RefSeq, a predicted model, not a curated record
AGAGAUGAGUUCCUCUGUAUUAACGUUGUACGCAAUAUUCGUAUAUAUGUGACCUUAAAAACAAAUAAAACAAUAGUUUGACCUAGGACGGAAUUAUAUCUAAAUAUCCUGUUGUAUAUACGUUUUCUUCAGUAUGUAUUUACUUUACACAUGAAGAAUAUUUACGAUCGAGUAUAAGUAGUGUCAAGAUUUCUUUUAUAGGUAAAGUUUAAAGGAAGUAGGACGUACGUUUAAAAAUUAAUAUGUAGGAUGGUAAUUUGCCGAUUAAGGCACCUUAGAAAGACUUAGAAUGGAAUGAAAAUUUUCACGUUCGAAUGAACUAAAAGAUGUAACCUAGGUUAACAAUGUCAUUUUUUAAAAUUACAAAUAUGUAACUAGAGUGACCAGAAGAACGAGUUAUGACAGACAGGGAUUUAAAUGACAAUGCAGCAGUUUGGCAUACAGAUUCGCAGGUUUCAGACGUACCGUCGAUAAACUAUGAAGUUUACACAGACGAAGAUGCCAUUGAGGAACUGCAUGGACCUAUGAGCUGGACGGGACCCGCUCUGGGAAGUGCAAUUUUCUGUUUUUUACCGACAGGACUGAUAGAUAGCAUAUUAUAAUGCUAGAAAGGCACAAAAAUCAUUCGAAGCGGGUGACAUGCAAUCAUGGACACGUUACAGGGGACGUGCACGGUUUCUCGUGUUUGUUACUUGUAUUCUCGGAAUUUUAGUCUAUAUAGUAAUAAUCGCAGUUGUGCAAGGAGUAAAACAUACUAGUACCACGUGAUUCAGUCAUGUGUUCCUGGAAUUCUACUUCACAUUGCAUUAUAUUCACAGUUUUGAAAGGAUUCAAACAUACUAGUACCAUGUGAUUCAUUCAUGCGUUUUUGGAAUUUUAGAGUAUUUUGCAAUAAUUAGAGUUGCGCAAAGAGUCAAACAUAUCAAAAUCGCGUGAUUUAUUCAUGCGUUUUUGGAAUUUUAGCUCAUAAUGCAGUAAUUGCAGAUGUGUUAAGAGUCAGACAUAUCAUUUCCACGUGAUUCAUCCAUAUGUUCUUAGAAUUUUAGUUCAUAUUGCAAUUUACGCAAUUAUGCAAGGAGUAAAAGCAACAAUACCACGUGACUCAUCGUUUGUUAUGAUAAUAUGAGCUGAAGAAGGAUAUAAACAAACCUGUACCACGUGAUUCAUCCAUGUGUUCUUGGAAUUUCAUUUAAUGUUGAGAUAAUAUGAGCCACAUGAUAUAUAACGAUUCCAGUACUACGUGAAUCGUUUGCAUGGUUUAAACUGUGGCUGUAUGGACUAUGCAAGGUGUCAAGGAAUUAAACAAUAUCAUUUACAAUAAUAUUCUGUAUUUCAGUAAAUAGUCCCAUUUAGUAACUUGAGUUACAUCUCUCGACGUUCCGAACAAUCACCAUAAACAAUAUGUAACCAAGGUGUCUUAUUUAAUGCUCAUUGUCUCAUUCUUGCCGCUUUCCUGAAGAUGGUUUAAGAUCAUUGGCUUAAUCUUGGACUGAAAAUAAUUUAAAAGAAUUCUUAAAUGCUAGCAGCCGAGAGAUUAUUGCCUUUUAUAAAAUUUUGGUGACAAGUGUUUGAAUGAAAAGUUAACGUGUAUGACACAUACAUUCAUUAUUAUUUUGCUAUUUGAAGCCUUGAGAAAACAAAUAGGUUUUUAUCUGUGAUACAAGUACCAGUGGCAAUUUAUCAUGUGCUGCCAAAAAGGAUGUAAAAAAAAAUGGACAGUGAUUGAACAGUUGACAUUCUUCAGUGCCAUAUUUAUUCAGUAUAUAAUGUAGUUUAGAAUUUAUAUAAAGUUAACAUGAUACUAUAUUUAAUAAACUAAAAACAUUAACAUGUGAUUGAGCAUCAACAGGACGAUGUCCUCACUAGUCAUAUCUCAUAGGCAUUAAUUCUUAGAAUGUUAAUCUGAUUUCUUUAUAGCCGUAGAUCAAUAAUCAUGUGAUUCAUGUGCAGCCAUACUCAGUCAUAGCCCCUUUAUCUCUAGAUUCACCAACAAUUGUGCUUAUCGGCAAGUGUUAUGCCAUAGGCAUUAAUCAUGUGAUUUAUCAGUAUUUAUGCUCUUUCUGCACGUGAUUCAUUAUUAGUUGUUUUCGCUUCUUUUAGUAGUAGCGCGCUCAAUCAGGAAAUUAAGUGUUCAUUAAGUCUUCCGUAAUUAGGUAUGAGGCCAUAGGCAGUACAUGAUUGAGCAUUGUUAUAAUUGACCAUGGACAUUAACUACGCGAUUCAAUGGCCGGUAUCCAUGCUCAUCCAGAGUGUGCUGCUUCAUUCGCCAGAAACAAAAGCGCCGUGUAGAAACGUUCAUUCGUAUGUUGCAUCAUAUAGAAAUAGGCACCAAUCUCCUGAUGUACGAGCAGCCAUUUUUAUAUUGCAAGUGUUGCAUCAUUAAUCACAAGAUUUAUUAGCAACGUACUCAUUCAAUUUAUUUGUCGCCAGCAAAUGGCAUUAACCACUUGAUUCAUUAGCUGUUAUAUUUAGCCUUUAACUGAAUAAGCAUUAACUGUUUGGCAUUAAGCACGUGAUUUAUUUGUAGUCGUAUUCAUUUAUGUAACGUGGUCACAACUAGCAGUGAGUGUUCAGUUUGUGAAUCACAGGUGGACAUAUUCCUUCUAGCCAAAGAUCACUUUACAGUCAUAUUUGUUAUAUAAUUGUGUUGUAUUUAUUUAGAUUUACAUUUGUAAAUACGAAUGCUUUUAUUACAUUAAAUGUACGGUGUUUCUGACUCCUUAUUAGGUGAAAAUUUAGAUGUACCAGCAUACCCUGCUUUGAAAUGCUGCAACAAAAUAGAAUACUGCCAAUGUAACAGAGUAUUAAAUAUAACAAGACGUG